AUCUCUUCUCAGCCUUUUGGCUAAGAUCAAGUGUAGUAUCUGUUCUUAUCAGUUUAAUAUACCUACAAAUUUGAGAUUCUGCCCAGUCUUUGGGAUAGGCGGGCACCUGGUACAAGUAGCUCUGUCUCUUAGUAAUUCUUGCCUCAUCCCAG
RNAcentral lists this small nuclear RNA (152 nucleotides) under Fukomys damarensis (Damara mole-rat). Its description in RNAcentral is "U2 spliceosomal RNA". It matches the Rfam family "U2 spliceosomal RNA". From Rfam's summary of the family: U2 is a small nuclear RNA (snRNA) component of the spliceosome (involved in pre-mRNA splicing). Complementary binding between U2 snRNA (in an area lying towards the 5' end but 3' to hairpin I) and the branchpoint sequence (BPS) of the intron results the bulging out of an unpaired adenosine, on the BPS, which initiates a nucleophilic attack at the intronic 5' splice site, thus starting the first of two transesterification reactions that mediate splicing. Lineage: Eukaryota; Metazoa; Chordata; Mammalia; Rodentia; Bathyergidae. The record is from Rfam by way of RNAcentral.